Molecule: long non-coding RNA, 764 nt
Organism: Trachemys scripta elegans
Lineage: Eukaryota; Metazoa; Chordata; Testudines; Emydidae
Exons: 3
Source: RefSeq, a predicted model, not a curated record
CCUGAUUGUAUGAGGAAGUCGUGGCAAUCCAUAACAUUUUGUCUACUAAGGUCCUAGCAAUCCUCAUACAGCUGUUGUGUACUUCUAUUUUCAUGAUUCCCUUUUACCUUUUCCCAAAAGGUUAGAUCUAAUAUUUUCAGCCUUGGAUUUACAGAUGCUUCUCCAGUGGCUAUUUAAAGCACACACACACACUGCUGUUGUUAUCAUAGUGCCACAUGCCAGUCACAAAGCUUGGGCGUGGCGUAGUUCCAAGUUUCUAACAGUUGUUUUUGAGGCUGAACCAAAAGCUUGGCAUCCGUAGUUUAAAAUUAGUCUUAUCCGUGCUCUAUACGUCAUCAUCGAUACCUUCAUAUCUGCACCCCGCUUGUUUCCAGCUACAGUUUUAGUAGAGGAAGCCACGCCCCGGAAGCUCUGCUGGGCAUGCUCCAACUGGAGAACAGCUAUAAAAGCCUGCAGAGCUGCUCAGUCUGGGCUGACCACCGGAGAAGAAGGAGGUACGCUGCUAGCUCCUGAAGAGGGAGAGCUUGCGCACCAGGAUCCGGAGGCCAGCCAAGCUGGGACACCCCCUGAUACCCCGAUGGAGGAUGUCACAGGAGGAGAACACACCAGAUGACCCCACCACAGAGAACCUGGCAUUUAUGUUUGUAGGAGAUGGUAACAAGAAUACAAGAAUCACCGAAGAAGAUGACAUUUUGAUUACAAGGCACAGGAUAAUCCCAUAAGAGACCCCAAACAACAAUUCAAAGUUAAAUUCUUUAACCAGG